UACUGUUUGGAAAAUGCUAGCUUUGUUCGAAAUCUCUCAAAAGAACCUUCGGUGAACCUGCUGAAUAUUUGAACCCGAUAGAUCUCUGCAUAAUACCUUUGUACUCCAAAAUCAAUAUCAUACCUUUACUUCAAGCCCCAGUCAGCACAGCAUCCGCCCAAUUGGGCCUGCACUCCCAUUCAGUAUCGACCCUCCCUUCUUGUUUGUCUACAUUCCCGGCGAGCCUGAAAGGAAGGCCCCCAAGAGGUUCUUGACAUCAAGCUGCACGAUCUACCAAGUGAACCCGACAAGCCUGAAGGGGUGGGGGAAAUGCAUGAACAGGUGUACAAGAGGUGUUUUGCAGUUGCCAAGCAUCAGAUUGAGCUUAUGUAUAAGGUCGGGGAGCUUGAUGAGGUACAAGCUUAUCUUCGAUGAAACAUGUGAGUUAAUGAAAACAUACCAUAGAUGCUCUAGAGUAGCCCUAUGUAACCCCAUUGUGAGACGAAAAGCAAGCCAAGAUUGUGGAGCAUCAACAGGGUCCCGAGAAAGGCGUUAUUCCUACUACCAGGAUUCUACCUGCAGUUGCCCAUGCUCAUGUUGAUCAAGAUGAAGUAAUUUGUUAGCUAUUCAAGUGACCAACUGUGGCAUGCAUUAAAACAAAGUCAAAAGUUUGAUGUGAAUGAAAUUUGGUAUUGGCAGAAUAGACGCGUAGAGACGUUGAAAAGGCUGGAUAAUAUGAUGCAGUUGGACAAUGAGAAUGCAAUAGAUUAGAAUCGACGGCAGCCUAGUAGCACGUAUUAGAGAUAG
Molecule: small RNA, 786 nt
Filed under: Cryptococcus neoformans H99
Lineage: Eukaryota; Fungi; Basidiomycota; Tremellomycetes; Tremellales; Cryptococcaceae
Description: Cryptococcus neoformans var. grubii H99 hypothetical RNA
Source: RNAcentral